This 610-nucleotide unclassified non-coding RNA is filed under the name Dianella longifolia. RNAcentral describes it as "partial external transcribed spacer". Lineage: Eukaryota; Viridiplantae; Streptophyta; Magnoliopsida; Asparagales; Asphodelaceae. The record is from RNAcentral.
CCGUGCUCGGCGGAGCUCCCGAGCCUGCGUCUUGCUGCCCCGUCGCAUGUUGCUUACUUGGAACCAUUUGGUCCCGGUGCAGCAGUGGCGGGCAUGUGAUCGCGGGCUCGGUUGCGGCCGUGUCGGCAUAUGAGUGGUUUUGGAUCCGAAUGUCCUGACGGGCUCCCUGCCUCUGUGCAGCCAACCGUCGGCGACGCGGUCCGUUCAUUUUCGUCGCCCGAGGACCCUUCGAGUCUCGGUGCGUUGCCAAGUUGCCUGUGCGUAAAACCCCAUUUUAUGGGAACAACAUCUCGACCAUGCGCUCGACUCGCCCCAUCUUGCCUACAAGCACGGAGGGGCGGCACUACAUGCGAUCCUCAAGUUUUCCCCGGGACGCGGGUGGUCAUGUUCGGCCGUCCGCACUCGGUGGGUGCUUGAGGCAUCGCGAGGACUUGCGGAAGCAGUGUAUGCGGAGAUCCCGUGGGCCGUGGCCCUCGGCCUCCUCUCGGUUGCGAUUCGGCUAUAAAAAAAAGUCGAUCCCGUUCGAAUGACGCUCGAGCCGCCGUAACCUCUCACCUCCCCUCCCGGGGAGGGCGCGGGGCACGGCGGCCGAUGUCAUCGAGGGCUGUGC